GUCCUUUUGAGUUUAAUAUAAGGUCUGACCUGCCCAGUGAUUAAUUUAACGGCCGCGGUAUAUUGACCGUGCAAAGGUAGCAUAAUCAUUAGUCUUUUAAUAGAGGGCUGGAAUGAAAGGUUUAACGAGGAACUGACUGUCUCAUUUUAUUUGUAUUAAAAUUUAAUUUUUUAGUCAAAAAGCUAAAAUGUAAUUGGAAGACGAGAAGACCCUAUAGAUCUUUAUAUAUCUUUUAUUAAUAGUUAUUAUAUUAAUAAUUUUAAUAAAAAAUAUAUUUUGUUGGGGUGACAAAAAUAUAUAAUUAACUUUUUUAUAAUUUAUACAUUGAUUUAUGAAUAUUAGAUCCAUUAUUAUUGAUUAUUAGAUUAAGUUACCUUAGGGAUAACAGCGUAAUCCUUCUCCAGAGUUCAUAUUUACAGAAGGGCUUGCGACCUCGAUGUUGGAUUAAGAUAAUAAUUAGGUGUAGCCGCUUAAUAUAUAGGUCUGUUCGACCUUUAAAUUCUU
RNAcentral lists this ribosomal RNA (504 nucleotides) under Acisoma panorpoides. RNAcentral describes it as "partial 16S rRNA". It matches the Rfam family "Bacterial large subunit ribosomal RNA", at positions 1819 to 2597 of the family's 2925-position model. Lineage: Eukaryota; Metazoa; Arthropoda; Insecta; Odonata; Libellulidae. The record is from RNAcentral.